GAUGAGCCAAGAUUUGUAGCCAUAAGCUACUAAUGAUUUUAACUGAAGAGUUUGAUCAUGGCUCAGAUUGAACGCUGGCGGCAGGCUUAACACAUGCAAGUCGAGCGGGGAAGGGUAGCUUGCUACCUGACCUAGCGGCGGACGGGUGAGUAAUGCUUAGGAAUCUGCCUAUUAGUGGGGGACAACAUUCCGAAAGGAAUGCUAAUACCGCAUACGCCCUACGGGGGAAAGC
Molecule: ribosomal RNA, 232 nt
Filed under: Acinetobacter sp. SwsAc7
Lineage: Bacteria; Pseudomonadati; Pseudomonadota; Gammaproteobacteria; Moraxellales; Moraxellaceae
Description: partial 16S ribosomal RNA
Rfam family: Bacterial small subunit ribosomal RNA (bases 40-232)
Source: RNAcentral